GAUGAACGCUGGCGGCGUGCCUAAUACAUGCAAGUCGAGCGAACGGACGAGAAGCUUGCUUUUCUGAUGUUAGCGGCGGACGGGUGAGUAACACGUGGAUAACCUACCUAUAAGACUGGGAUAACUUCGGGAAACCGGAGCUAAUACCGGAUAAUAUAUUGAACCGCAUGGUUCAAUAGUGAAAGACGGUUUUGCUGUCACUUAUAGAUGGAUCCGCGCUGCAUUAGCUAGUUGGUAAGGUAACGGCUUACCAAGGCAACGAUGCAUAGCCGACCUGAGAGGGUGAUCGGCCACACUGGAACUGAGACACGGUCCAGACUCCUACGGGAGGCAGCAGUAGGGAAUCUUCCGCAAUGGGCGAAAGCCUGACGGAGCAACGCCGCGUGAGUGAUGAAGGUCUUCGGAUCGUAAAACUCUGUUAUUAGGGAAGAACAUAUGUGUAAGUAACUGUGCACGUCUUGACGGUACCUAAUCAGAAAGCCACGGCUAACUACGUG
RNAcentral lists this ribosomal RNA (497 nucleotides) under uncultured bacterium. RNAcentral's name for it is "partial 16S ribosomal RNA". It matches the Rfam family "Bacterial small subunit ribosomal RNA", at positions 28 to 507 of the family's 1533-position model. The record is from RNAcentral.